RNAcentral lists this ribosomal RNA (357 nucleotides) under Triticum aestivum (bread wheat). RNAcentral describes it as "partial small subunit ribosomal RNA". Lineage: Eukaryota; Viridiplantae; Streptophyta; Magnoliopsida; Poales; Poaceae. The record is from RNAcentral.
AUGAAGAGAAAAGCGCUGUCAUACACCGUUAAGAUUAAUUCAUUCUUUAGGCUGGUUGCUUCAAGUUCUCAACCUAGUGAAAUUUUUAAUGACGCUGAUAUGUUGGACAUAGUAAAUGUUGCAGAACAAGAACAAAAUUGGCUUAUCAUAAAGACCUUGGUAAACAUUGUCAAAUUUGAGAGCUGCCACUGGACAAGGAAGAUGAAGGUCGGCAUUUUUAUAUAUCCGAGGAACCAUAUCUGCCGAAAAGUGCCCCGAAACACUCUAAACAGUAAUUUAUCAUUUAAGUGCCGCCAAAUGGGAUAUGACUUACUUCGGUGUUCCAUGGUCAGAUACAUUGAAAAAAUUAGUAGGUAA